CCUACGGGAGGCAGCAGUGGGGAAUAUUGCACAAUGGGGGAAACCCUGAUGCAGCGACGCCGCGUGGAGGAAGAAGGUCUUCGGAUUGUAAACUCCUGUUGUUGAGGAAGAUAAUGACGGUACUCAAACAAGGAAGUGACGGCUAACUACGUGC
RNAcentral lists this ribosomal RNA (154 nucleotides) under uncultured bacterium. RNAcentral describes it as "partial 16S ribosomal RNA". It matches the Rfam family "Bacterial small subunit ribosomal RNA", at positions 338 to 508 of the family's 1533-position model. The record is from RNAcentral.